RNAcentral lists this transfer RNA (71 nucleotides) under Loxodonta africana (African savanna elephant). It matches the Rfam family "tRNA". From Rfam's summary of the family: Transfer RNA (tRNA) molecules are approximately 80 nucleotides in length. Their secondary structure includes four short double-helical elements and three loops (D, anti-codon, and T loops). Lineage: Eukaryota; Metazoa; Chordata; Mammalia; Proboscidea; Elephantidae. The record is from Rfam by way of RNAcentral.
GCAGUGGUAGUUCAGUGGUAGAAUUCUUGCCUUCCAUGCAGGAGACCCGGGUUUGAUUCCUGGCUAACACA